This 536-nucleotide long non-coding RNA is filed under the name Cyanistes caeruleus (blue tit). RNAcentral's name for it is "lncRNA (ENSCCEG00000006394.1)". Lineage: Eukaryota; Metazoa; Chordata; Aves; Passeriformes; Paridae. The record is from RNAcentral.
AGGAGGAAGAAAACAGAAGAAGAUAUCAGGAUGAAAUUCCUCCAGAACCUUGCCAAUCACCUGGCUUGGUCAGACUCCAUUUCUUGAAGCAAGGUUGAGGUCACCAACCUGACCCCACCUUCCUACCCGAGCUGCCCCACGUCACACACAAAGAGCCCUGACAGCUUUUUUGGUCACAGCAUCGAGCUGGGAACCAGAACUCAACAGACUAGAAGCAAAGAAAGGAGAACAAGACCGAGUGGGGAAAAAAAUGAAGAAUUAAAGUUGGUUAAAAACCCACAAAUUAUUAUUUGCUUAUUUUCAUACCUGAGCUCAGAUGAUUCUCUGCACAUCCAGACAAUGUGUUCACAUUUCCUUCCCCUGCCACGUGUUUUCUCUCCACUCAUCCCUCAGCAGACGCACCCCUGCUCAGGAAAGGGUUUCCAGCCCCCAAAACAUGCAGCAGAAAGGGAUUUUCCCCGAAGCCACAUCUGUCCUGCAUCUCCUGCUGACAGCAGCCUUGCACUGCCAAACCCUGGGACUUUUAUAAUUUGUUC